AGGGAAUAUUGGGCAAUGGAGGCAACUCUGACCCAGCCAUGCCGCGUGAAGGAUGACUGUCCUAUGGAUUGUAAACUUCUUUUGUUAGGGACGAAACCCUUGGAUUCAUCCGAGGCUGACGGUACCUAAAGAAUAAGCACCGGCUAACUCCGUGCCAGCAGCCGCGGUAAUACGGAGGGUGCAAGCGUUAUCCGGAUUCACUGGGUUUAAAGGGUGCGUAGGUGGAUCAGUAAGUCAGUGGUGAAAGCCCCGGGCUCAACUUGGGAAUUGCCAUUGAUACUGCUGGUCUUGAGUUCGGUUGAGGUAGGCGGAAUAAGUCAUGUAGCGGUGAAAUGCUUAGAUAUGACUUAGAACACCGAUUGCGAAGGCAGCUUACCAAGCCGACACUGACACUGAGGCACGAAAGCGUGGGGAUCAAAC
Molecule: ribosomal RNA, 420 nt
Filed under: uncultured bacterium
Lineage: Bacteria
Description: bacterial SSU rRNA
Rfam family: Bacterial small subunit ribosomal RNA
Source: RNAcentral